GUCUGUGGACAUACCACCCUUCACAUUCCCGAUCUUGUCUGAUGUCCUAAACUACGCAGGGGCAGCUCUGGUUAGUACGUUGAUGAGAAAACAAGUGAAGAAAAGGCAGAGAUU
Molecule: ribosomal RNA, 114 nt
Organism: Cavia aperea (Brazilian guinea pig)
Lineage: Eukaryota; Metazoa; Chordata; Mammalia; Rodentia; Caviidae
Source: Ensembl